GUAUAUAAAUAUCACCAUAAUUAUACUAAGAACAUAUCCAUUUAGAUAGAAGGAUAAGUCUACAGAAUGAAUUGAGACAAGUUAGAAGCAUAAGACAAGCUUAGAAGCAAUUUGGACCCAAACUAAUUUGGAAUUUAGUUUGACUCAAAAGCUUUUGAAGUUUUCAAAAUCGAAUACUGCUAUACUUUCUAAGGGAAACCUGCUCUGAUACCAGCUGUGGCAGAACCUCCUGAAUUAAGUGGCCCACAUGCACACAUCAUUGUCCCAAAGACUUCUGAUCGGCGUGCACGAGUUCCAAAUGACUCAAGGAGUCUGUCGGGUGUCCUCGGGAAACCCGAAUCAUCCACGUAACAUUCCUUUCAGGAAUUUCCCUCAUCAAGCAUCACAGUAUUACAACAUUUCAUAGAUAAGAGAAAUCAGAGUAAAAGCGGAAAGGUUACAUAACAUAGAUUAAAACUUAAGUUCAAGGUUUACAAACCAUAAGUAUUUAAUACAUAAAAGCUUCGGAACUUUAUAUUACAUAAACCGUAGGUUCACACAACAACUUUUACUUGCCCAAGGUCACACAUCAGGUUCAUCCUCAUCACUCUCCUCCACAAGAGUAAAAUAACCAUGACCAUCAAAAGGAUAAUCAAGAGGUUCACCUGCAACAUGGGUUAAGAAACCCUGAGUACAAAAGUACUCAACAAGACUUAACCGACUAUAAAAGAGGUGAAGACUCAGGUAUGCAGGCUAUGGGGAUUCAAGGUAAAGCUUUAACAAGAUCAAGUAUUUCUUUUUGCAUAAAAGCUUACUACGAGUAAAGCCUACUUUCAAGUUUUAACUCAAGAUCAUUACUUAUAACUAGCCAAUAUCAUUAUCCAACUUUCAUAAGCAAAACACCUUUUUCUUAUACCAAAGAUUCACUUAUUACUACGAUGAUGGUGUGAGGAUUGAGGCUCCAUAUCCGAGGAAACACGGCGAUUCGAAUCGAUUAAACCCAGCUGGGGAUUCAGUACCACACGACAUAUGUAGAACUUAAUCUUGCAUAUGUCAACCUUUUCUAUAGAUCCUCCCAUACAAGAACGGGUCCAGCGUCACCCGAGAGUACAGUACACCACCAUCCUACAGCCAAUCUAGAUGUUUCCCGGUCAUCUCAGAUUCGUAAGGUGGGUACACGCUACUCUCGCCAUCUCUCCACUCCCAGUACGCGGUUAGCCGUUCUCAAGUAUCGGAAUAGCUAUAGGUAAGGCUUACCAGCGCAUGUGGGCUGUACUCAAAGGUCCCAAUCACAACAGGCCAACAACGGUACGGUCCUUAAUCG
This 1303-nucleotide long non-coding RNA is filed under the name Sorghum bicolor (sorghum). Its description in RNAcentral is "long non-coding RNA (SBIC_LNC016914)". Lineage: Eukaryota; Viridiplantae; Streptophyta; Magnoliopsida; Poales; Poaceae. The record is from RNAcentral.